UUGGCAGCUUCCCCUUCCCCAUCCGCCAGCCCUGGGCCAGCUCACAUCCAGCUGAGAGGACCCAGGUCUGCCAGGAUUUACCAGGCACCUCAGGGAUGUGGUCUCCAUUCAGAUGCCUCUUCCACACCUCAAGUCUUCCUCAGGCACCUGGAUCCGUGACCCACCCACACCUGUGCCGGCCUACCUCUCUUUCUCUCCUCUGCCCCCAACAAGAGAGUGAGUCUUCCAUCAUCUAAGGUAUGUAAGCACACAGGCCAGAAGCUCAUCCCAAGCCUGCUGAGAAAGACCUCGACUUGGUCUUGGUCUCGUCUUUCUCACCCUGAAUAUAUCUCUUGUUUGGGUUUUUAAAA
Odocoileus virginianus texanus is the source of this 350-nucleotide non-coding RNA. The record is from RefSeq and is a predicted model, not a curated record. NCBI's taxonomy places the organism in Eukaryota, Metazoa, Chordata, Mammalia, Artiodactyla, Cervidae.